UACAGAGGGGGCAAGCGUUGUUCGGAAUUACUGGGCGUAAAGGGCGCGUAGGCGGCCUGCUAAGUCGAACGUGAAAUCCCUGGGCUCAACCCAGGAACUGCGUCCGAUACUGGUUGGCUUGAAUCCGGGAGAGGGAUGUGGAAUUCCAGGUGUAGCGGUGAAAUGCGUAGAUAUCUGGAGGAACACCGGUGGCGAAGGCGACAUCCUGGACCGACAUUGACGCUGAACGGCGAAAGCUAGGGGAGCAAACGGG
RNAcentral lists this ribosomal RNA (253 nucleotides) under uncultured bacterium. RNAcentral's name for it is "partial 16S ribosomal RNA". It matches the Rfam family "Bacterial small subunit ribosomal RNA", at positions 524 to 776 of the family's 1533-position model. The record is from RNAcentral.